Molecule: long non-coding RNA, 536 nt
Organism: Chinchilla lanigera (long-tailed chinchilla)
Lineage: Eukaryota; Metazoa; Chordata; Mammalia; Rodentia; Chinchillidae
Exons: 3
Source: RefSeq, a predicted model, not a curated record
GGCUGUGCUUUCAGGAAAAGCUCAAGUGUCUGCUCUGGAGAGACCCAGCCAAGGAGGAGGGGCAGGUGCCCAGCUCCUGCCUGGCUCAGGCAAGCAACCCAGGGCAGAGGCAGCUCGUAGACCAUGGCUUCCCAGCUAGAGACCUGAUGCAGAAGCCCUGACUCCACAGAGUGCAGGGAGCAGGUGUGAGAGCAGCCAUGGCGGUGGAAGGAGAGGCUGAGGUGGAACUGGAGCUGUACUUCCCCGUCGCUUGGAGGACACACGGCUCGGCAACUUGUCAGCAACACGGAUGCCACCGUCACCAGGCUCUCAGGACAUCCUGAUGGCUCUAUAGUUUCCACUUAACUGCCAACCAGUAUAAGCCACAAAGCCUUCAUCCCUUGAGCUGGUGUGCUUGUAAGACACAUGCACCUGUGAGCAUUUCGCUCAUCAAACCUACACUUUCUCCAGAUGCCCGUGUCAGAGCUCUCGGCCGCCUGCUUCUGGCCUCUUCCCGUUCCAACCUCCUUCUGUCCUGCCAAGAGAAAGUCUACUCU